Molecule: long non-coding RNA, 1248 nt
Organism: Sapajus apella (tufted capuchin)
Lineage: Eukaryota; Metazoa; Chordata; Mammalia; Primates; Cebidae
Exons: 2
Source: RefSeq, a predicted model, not a curated record
ACCGCAGGCUGGAGGCGCGCCGGCGUGAUUCCGACAGCGGGAGCCGGGAGGAGGAGCCGGAGGAGGCUGCGGGGGGCUCCGGCCCAGGCGAAGGAAGGGCAAGAGGCUCUGCGGACCAGGGGCGGCGCUGGGAGGCAUUCCCAUCCUCCGGCAGAACAGCUGAGAAUCGCCAAGUUGACCCCUCUCAUCCAUUGGCCGAGAAGAGAGGGUGUUUCAGGACCCAGGGAUGGGCGGGAAGAAACCAUGGGGAGCCACAAGUCUGCACCCAGGCGGGGAGGAGGCGGGCGGGCGCCGCUCCGCAGGCGCAGGCGAGUGGGUGGGAAGGGAGAGGGAGAGGGAGGAAGGAGGUGAGGCCGGGAAGAUGCCACUGCCGGGGGCGGGGCGGGGCCGGGGAUCCGGCACAGGGACUGCAGCAGUGCUUGGUGGGGGCGGGAGCUGCAAUGUCACUCAUUUGAGUCAGGUGUGUGCGUCCCAAACGGGGUCCGCCACAAGCCCGCAUCUUCCUAGUAACACCCAGGGCGCAGGGGCAGAGGGCAGGGGACUGCGGAUCCGUCCCUGAAGCGGGACGCGAACCGGCAGAGUUGGAAGAAGGUAAACAAGGGCCACGCCCCCUGCCGUCGCCCCGCGGGCGCGCACCCGCCGCUCCGGCCGCCGCCGGUACAUUUCCACUCUCCCAGCGCCUCUCCCCCGCCGGACUCCCGCGCGGCCCCGGAGGUGGGGGCUGUCCCCGACCCCAGUCCGCGCCCCUGGCGCCAAGGCUCCGCACCCUCCAUACUCACCUGGAAAGGGUGGCCCCCGCCCCUCCAAAAAACUGUCUAAUUUGUGCAGAGCCUCCAAGCCCAGGAGCCGAGCAUGCUGCCCCCGCGUGCAGCGCCCGCGUGCACCGGGCCGGGAGAGGGGGCGACAGGGCGGAGGCGGUGGCCCCCGGAAGGUGUCUGGGACCGGACCGGCUGCACGUGAGCCCAGCGCGAGGUCAUGUGCACCGGCUCAGCCCGGUUCGCCGCCCGGACGUGCUGCGUAUCAACAAAAUGAAACUCGGGGAGGCAGGAGGGCAGAUAGCUCCCGGUUCUCAGAGCCCCCGCCCCGGCCACUCAACCUCCCCACCGGACUCAUCUCUCGCUGCAGCCCCUACGCCCGGCCGGAGCCCGCGGGGCAAGUUGCAGCCCUGGCGCGCCCCCGCCCUCCCGCGCCCCCUCCGACCCGGGGGCGCUUUGCCGCAGUCAUUAAUAAAGAAGGUCGCCAAGCUCA